UGGGGAAUUUUGGACAAUGGGCGAAAGCCUGAUCCAGCAAUGCCGCGUGUGUGAAGAAGGCCUUCGGGUUGUAAAGCACUUUUGUCCGGAAAGAAAUCCUUGGCUCUAAUACAGUCGGGGGAUGACGGUACCGGAAGAAUAAGCACCGGCUAACUACGUGCCAGCAGCCGCGGUAAUACGUAGGGUGCAAGCGUUAAUCGGAAUUACUGGGCGUAAAGCGUGCGCAGGCGGUUUGCUAAGACCGAUGUGAAAUCCCCGGGCUCAACCUGGGAACUGCAUUGGUGACUGGCAGGCUAGAGUAUGGCAGAGGGGGGUAGAAUUCCACGUGUAGCAGUGAAAUGCGUAGAGAUGUGGAGGAAUACCGAUGGCGAAGGCAGCCCCCUGGGCCAAUACUGACGCUCAUGCACGAAAGCGUGGGGGAGCAAACAGGAUUAGAUACCCUGGUAGUCCACGCCCUAAACGAUGUCAACUAGUUGUUGGGGAUUCAUUUCCUUAGUAACGUAGCUAACGCGUGAAGUUGACCGCCUGGGGAGUACGGUCGCAAGAUUAAAACUCAAAUGAAUUGAC
Molecule: ribosomal RNA, 567 nt
Filed under: uncultured bacterium
Lineage: Bacteria
Description: partial 16S ribosomal RNA
Rfam family: Bacterial small subunit ribosomal RNA
Source: RNAcentral